Molecule: ribosomal RNA, 467 nt
Filed under: uncultured bacterium
Lineage: Bacteria
Description: partial 16S ribosomal RNA
Rfam family: Bacterial small subunit ribosomal RNA
Source: RNAcentral
GAUGAACGCUGGCGGCGUGCUUAACACAUGCAAGUCGAACGGAAAGGCUCCUGCUUGCAGGGGUGCUCGAGUGGCGAACGGGUGAGUAACACGUGGGUGAUCUGCCCUGCACUUGGGGAUAAGCCUGGGAAACUGGGUCUAAUACCGGAUAGGACCACAUUUUGGAUGGUGUGGUGGAAAGUUGUUCGGUGUGGGAUGUGCUCGCGGCCUAUCAGCUUGUUUGGGGGGUAAUGGCCUACCAAGGCGUCGACGGGUAGGCGGCCUGUGAGGGUGUACGGCCACAUUGGGACGGAGAUAAGGCACCGACACCGAAGCGAGGGAGAAGUGGGGAAUAUUGACCAAUGGGCGCAAGCCUGAUGAAGAGAGGCCGCGUGGGGGAUGACGCCGUUCGGGUUGUAGACCCCUUUCGCUAGGGAAGAAGCGUUUUUGUGACGGUACCUGGCGAAGAAGCACCGGCUAACUACGUG